CGCGGGGUGGAGCAGUUCGGUAGCUCGUCGGGCUCAUAACCCGAAGGUCACAGGUUCAAAUCCUGUCUCCGCAA
RNAcentral lists this transfer RNA (74 nucleotides) under Paenibacillus curdlanolyticus YK9. It matches the Rfam family "tRNA". From Rfam's summary of the family: Transfer RNA (tRNA) molecules are approximately 80 nucleotides in length. Their secondary structure includes four short double-helical elements and three loops (D, anti-codon, and T loops). Lineage: Bacteria; Bacillati; Bacillota; Bacilli; Caryophanales; Paenibacillaceae. The record is from Rfam by way of RNAcentral.